This 371-nucleotide ribosomal RNA is filed under the name uncultured bacterium. RNAcentral's name for it is "bacterial SSU rRNA". It matches the Rfam family "Bacterial small subunit ribosomal RNA", at positions 77 to 446 of the family's 1533-position model. The record is from RNAcentral.
CCUUCGGGGGCUAGCGGCGGACGGGUGAGUAACACGUAGGCAACCUGCCUGUAAGACCGGGAUAACAUAGGGAAACUUAUGCUAAUACCGGAUAGAGUGUCUCCUCGCAUGAGGAGAUACGGAAAGAUGGCGCAAGCUAUUACUUGCAGAUGGGCCUGCGGCGCAUUAGCUGGUUGGUGGGGUAACGGCCUACCAAGGCGACGAUGCGUAGCCGACCUGAGAGGGUGACCGGCCACACUGGGACUGAGACACGGCCCAGGCUCCUACGGGAGGCAGCAGUAGGGAAUUUUCCACAAUGGACGAAAGUCUGAUGGAGCAACGCCGCGUGAACGAUGAAGGUCUUCGGAUUGUAAAGUUCUGUUGUCAGGGAC